GAAACUAUUAAAGUGGUUUGUGUCCAAACAGUAAAAUAAAAUGACCUAUUUUUGCUCCCUUUACAGUUCUGAAAUCUACAGCAUUGCCAUUCGUUUAUCUUAUGAUGGACACCUGGAGACUAAAAAAUUUCUAUCAUUGCAAAGCUCUGGAAAAUAGGCCAGAGAUCCCAGUCUCCAAGAGGGCACACUUUUCCAGGGUGACAGUCAUAACUGUAGCUGCCUAGACUCUGGGAACUGUUACAAAUAUGAUGUAUGGCACUUCCCAUGGUUUUUUUUCCUUUCUUAUACUUCAGUUUCUCUACCAUUUAAGGUUUAUAAAGUUCCACCAAUCCCAGGUGAGUGAUUCUCAGAAUCACGGAAAAUAUAAUUGAAAAUACUUUAUAACCCCAAGGAGCAACAGGUAGAGAUGUUAAUAUGAAAUGUGUUCUGAAACACCAGAGACGAACAGAUGUCUAGCUUGAACUGAAUUUUCCUUUCAGGACAGGCAGGUGAGGGCAAAGAAGAGGUUAGCUCCUCUCCUACCAUUGAAAAAAAAAUCUAAGUAUAGGAGGCGAACACGCUGAAUCU
RNAcentral lists this long non-coding RNA (567 nucleotides) under Bos taurus (domestic cattle). RNAcentral describes it as "long non-coding RNA NONBTAT018262". The record is from RNAcentral. Lineage: Eukaryota; Metazoa; Chordata; Mammalia; Artiodactyla; Bovidae.